UGCGGGAGCAGAGACUAGUCAGCUCCUCCGUGCUCCUCCUCUCUGCUCCCUCCUCAGCUCUUUCUUCUCCUCCUGCUCUAGCUGUCUUCCCCUCUCUGAAAAUAAUCGUUCCAAAUAACCUAGCUUUAGGUUGUGUCACUAACCAAAAACACCCAAGGCUAGCUAGAGAAAGAACAAAGUGUAAUUUUGAAUUUAAAAUUAGAGAUCUGGACCUAUUUCAGGAGUUGGUAGCUGUGGGGUGGUGACCAAGUGCUCAAGCUUCAGCUAAUUUCUUCUCCAAUAACAAGCAUCAAAGAGACCACACCCAGACACUCUCAUGCACCAUCUGUCCGAGAGUGUCAGAAGUAGGAAGGACUCAGCACAGAGAUCUGAGAAGAUGAUCACUGUGGGUGUCAUAAACUGUAGCCCCACAUACACGCCAUGUUGUUACAUUCCACAGGAACAGCUAAAGAUACAGAUUUUGCUUCACCACUGUCUCUGCAUUUUGGUAGUAAUUGUGGGAAAGAACUUGAUGAUGACAAUGAUGACAAUGACAAAGACUACUAUGGAAGAUAAGAUAACAACAACCAACUGAUGACCUCAUCCUGGUUUGGAAGCCCCGGUUUCCAUGUGUUAGCAUAAGAAACCCUAAUGACUUGACAAAAAUCAAUAUUGUGUGAUAAAUUCAAGAGACAGUGAUGAUUAAGACUGUUACUCACUCAUAAGGAGAAUUUGAGGGCUUGUAGUACUUCUAAUUGAUGUAGAGAAAAACUGGGAGAGAGAAGGCCCUUGAAUAUAUGAAGGAUAGGGAAUCCUGCCACUUUCCUCCUUUAUUAUUAUCAGACUACGUGGCUUGUCACCAAAUAGCCCAAAGGCAUGUGAGAGAAGAGAUGUAUAUAUAUAGAGAGAAUGGCUAUAAGUGACUCACAUUAGCU
Molecule: long non-coding RNA, 914 nt
Filed under: Equus caballus (horse)
Lineage: Eukaryota; Metazoa; Chordata; Mammalia; Perissodactyla; Equidae
Description: lncRNA (ENSECAG00000032147.2)
Source: RNAcentral